RNAcentral lists this ribosomal RNA (231 nucleotides) under uncultured bacterium. RNAcentral describes it as "partial 16S ribosomal RNA". It matches the Rfam family "Bacterial small subunit ribosomal RNA", at positions 99 to 334 of the family's 1533-position model. The record is from RNAcentral.
CGGACGGGUGAGUAAUGUCUGGGAAACUGCCCGAUGGAGGGGGAUAACUACUGGAAACGGUAGCUAAUACCGCAUAACGUCGCAAGACCAAAGAGGGGGACCUUCGGGCCUCUUGCCAUCGGAUGUGCCCAGAUGGGAUUAGCUAGUAGGUGGGUAACGGCUCACCUAGGCGACGAUCCCUAGCUGGUCUGAGAGGAUGACCAGCCACACUGGAACUGAGACACGGUCCAG